Penaeus chinensis is the source of this 377-nucleotide long non-coding RNA. RefSeq lists it as uncharacterized. The transcript has 3 exons. NCBI's taxonomy places the organism in Eukaryota, Metazoa, Arthropoda, Malacostraca, Decapoda, Penaeidae. The record is from RefSeq and is a predicted model, not a curated record.
AUGGAUUAUUCCGUUGCAUCCACAAGGUUAACGUGACCUGGAAGACCGCCAGGGAAUACUGCGAUGCGUCCAACUCUUGCGAUAAUAGAAAUGAACGCCUGUGCCAGAUAUUGAAGGAUGGAAAACUACAGACGAACGUGUUAUCUGCCGAAAUGUCUGGUGAAGAGUUCCUUUAAAAGUUCAACAUCACAAUUGAACAUCCUGAUUGUCCUCACUUGUACACACGUGUUGGCGACCACUGCUUGUCAUUCUUUUCUUUGGAUUGGUCAAUUGGGGAGAAGCUCGGUCUUUCUGCAAGAUGAAUGGCGGUGACCUUUUGACCUUUCAAGAUGGCGUCGGGAUCUUCUACGAAAUCGUCCGCCACCUCCGCGAGCACA